GAUGAACGCUAGCGGCAGGCCUAACACAUGCAAGUCGAGGGGUAGAGUUGGCUUGCUAACUUGAGACCGGCGCACGGGUGCGUAACGCGUAUGCAAUCUACCUUGUACAGAGGGAUAGACCAGAGAAAUUUGGAUUAAUACCUCAUAGUAUCUUCGGAAGGCAUCUUAUGAUUAUUAAAGUUCCAACGGUACAAGAUGAGGAUGCGUCCCAUUAGCUAGAUGGUAAGGUAACGGCUUACCAUGGCAACGAUGGGUAGGGGUCCUGAGAGGGAGAUCCCCCACACUGGUACUGAGACACGGACCAGACUCCUACGGGAGGCAGCAGUGAAGAAUAUUGGUCAAUGGGCGCAAGCCUGAACCAGCCAUGCCGCGUGCAGGAAGACGGUCCUAUGGAUUGUAAACUGCUUUUAUACGGGAAGAAACACUGCUACGUGUAGCAGCUUGACGGUACCGUAAGAAUAAGCAUCGGCUAACUCCGUGCCAGCCGCCGCAGUAA
Molecule: ribosomal RNA, 496 nt
Filed under: uncultured bacterium
Lineage: Bacteria
Description: partial 16S ribosomal RNA
Rfam family: Bacterial small subunit ribosomal RNA
Source: RNAcentral